This is a long non-coding RNA of Alexandromys fortis (reed vole), 9390 nucleotides long. RefSeq lists it as uncharacterized. The transcript is spliced from 5 exons. The record is from RefSeq and is a predicted model, not a curated record. Lineage: Eukaryota; Metazoa; Chordata; Mammalia; Rodentia; Cricetidae.
GACCAUUAUCCCCAUUCUUCCAGACACUCAGGUGCUGCAGUGAUCCUCAAAGGGCAAGCCGCUUGCUUUGGCACACAGGCAAACACAGACGCGGGAAGUUGCUUUCAAGCUAUAUCCGCAAGCCCUGGGAUGAUGUAGAGGCCGCAGAAUCUCAUUGUUCCUCAGGUUGCAGGCUGCCAAGAACACUCUCAACGUGAGGAAGCAGGCUGCUCCAGACGCAGCUCUGAGAAGCCUUGCUGUGGAUAACUUUCAGAAAGUGAAGGGCACACAACAAAGCCUCCAACACUUCUGCCCUGACCCUAGGCAGCAGCAACAACUCAUGCUCUGAUGCUGAAAGUGGUACCCAACAGAGCCGAGACUUGUUGAGUUGUCUCAUGCUAGCCUGGAUCUAUCAUGUUCUACCUUGAUUUACCUCACCUCAUAAAUGGGCACAGGGCUCGUACCUCAUCACCUCUUGGGACCGACUAGGGGCGUAAGGCAACUGGUAGUCAUUGAGGGGAAACGAGAGCACGUCAUCCUGGGGCCCUGUGUGCUGGCAGCAUCCCUUCACUUGGCUGAGAGAACAGCUCCCUCUGGGUUACAGAGGUGUGGAAAUGACGGUCACACACUAAUGUCCAGGAGGAAGGGGCUGUUGCCACGCCAGGGUGGAGAUUCUGAAUGUAGCCCUUGGUGGCCAGUCAUCUGGAACUACUUCCUCCUCUGGAAGAGCCACUUGGACCCUGCGCCCUGAUGUGUGUCCUGACUGCACUCGUCUCAGAGGCUGACGCACAGAUAAAUCACUUUGAACUUUCAGAUGAAAGGUGCUCCGUAAACCAGAGGGCUCAUCAACUGUAAUUGUUACGGUAAUUAUUUUAAUGAUGAUAAUGGGAGAAUGGGGGUGGGGCAGGAAGGAAACCUCCCACCUUGAGACAAAGAAAAUCUCUUCCAGUCAAACCUGGGCCUCACUUCCUUCUGCCCCUAUGCAGUCUUCAUCCCUCUUGAACAGCCAAUCCCUGGGAUGAAAUAUUAUUUACUGCUUUCUUUCCCAAUAAAACAAUUAUGUGUUCCAGGGUUCCCCUCCCACUCACUCUCGGGUGUCGGGCUUGGCCCUGACAGCUCAGCCAUGAACUGUUUACAUGGCUCUCUCACCCGCCCAGAACCUGGUUCAGCUCCACUGACACUGAAGUCAGGAGCGUUCUCUGUGUGUGAGGAAUCAAUUUCUUCCGCUGACACUCCAUUACUGGCCUUCACAGCUUCAGAUUCCAGAUGGAAAGAAAAGGUGGUGGUGGAGACCCAAAGAGGGUGGUGAGCGUGUGUGUUUGUGCAUGGGGGUGUGCCUGCGGGGGGGGGGGGUUUACGGUGUGUGGUGUAUAUGGUCUAUGUGUGCUGUGUGUGUUGUAUGUGUGCAUGUGAGAAUGUAUGUGUGGUGUAUGUGUGUAUGUGCAUAGUGUGUGGUGUGAGUGUGUAUGUGUGGGAGAGAGAGAGAGAGAGAGCGAGAGCAUGUGUGUGCCUGUGUAAGGUGUAUGUGGUAUGGGUAUGAUGUGUAUAUGUGUGGUGUGUGUGCCUGUGUGGCAUAUGUGUGUGUAUGAUGUGUGUAUAUUGUGUGAAGAUGUGUGGUGCAUAUGUAUGGGUAUGGUGUGUGUAUGUGUGGUGUGUGAGCCUAUAUGGUGUGCAUGGUGUGUGUGUGUAUGUGUGUAUUUGUGUGUGAGGGGGAGUUCAGCGGAGUAGAAGGCAGAAGGAGACUACUGACUGAAUCUGGUUUCCAGCUUGUCCUUUAAGACCUAGAAAGACUUCUCUUUCCUCGAGUGCCUUGCACCAUCCACAAGUGACCAAGCAGCAGGAAGAGGCUGAGCAAGGCUAUAAAAAGAGGGCAGUGUCUAAAGGAGUCAGGCCAGCAUUGACAUAGGCACACAGAAGCAGUGUAUGGUGUGCAGGGUGUGCUCUUCCAAGGCCUCAGUAUUUCUUUCUGGUCAGUGGGACUAAUAUCGUUGCUGGGUGCAGAGCUUGCUCUGGGAGGUAAACGUGGACAAUAUCUGAUGUCUCUGGGAACACCAUCGGUGUUUGCUGUUGUCUUACUGAUCAUCUUCCCCCACGACCGUACGUCUGGGCCUCUGACAUACAGAGCUGAAAAAGUCAGACAACUGCCGAGAUGCCAAGUACAAAGCCACGAAGACAGGGCAUUAAGGAAUCGUGCGUUUUUUCUUUUAUCAUGGGAUCCCCUCAAACCUAAGUCAAACCUGGAUCUAUUUCUUUCUCCUUUUUCUUAGUUUCUUAAAAUUUAAUUUUGACCCGGCUAACUUUUUUUUUCAUGAAUUUUUCCUUCUAGGAAAAAAUUUGAUGAUGUAAAUUGAAUACAGCCAUUUAUUCUGCAAUCAACUGGGGUGGGUUGUGAGCCAAAAGGUCUCCUAAAGAAGGGUGAUUAUGAAGUUCUUUUUCUCCUCUGAAAGACAAGACAAGGCCUGUGAGUGCAUGGUGACUUAUCUAGGCAGGAAUAGAAAAAUGGAAUUAAGUUAUCUCUUGAGGGUCUCCCAUCAAGGUCUACAUUCCUUACUUCUAAAACAAACAAAAAGAACAGAUUUUUUCCCCCUAUGGGACUCAUGGCCACAGGAAAACACAAAUCCCUCUAUAGAGAAGUCUGAGGUCUUGACGUGCUAUCUUCCUUCCCUGCCUUACCGCCUCCACACCUUUAUCUGCUCCCUGUCCCUCUGAAUUUCUUGAGACAGCCAGCGCUGUAAUUAGAUGAGAGAAUUUCACGGAGUUACAUGGGGCGAGGUGCUGCUCCUCUGGGAUCAACAGCUUUCAAGAAAGUGCCAAGGUUGAGAGGCAGAGCAAGGGGGAUCGCGCAUGACAAAAUCUCAAGUGAUUUUCUCAAUCAGAAGAUAAAACACAUUGUUAAGAAAGACAGCCAAAGUGAAGAUCGCUUGCAGGGCGAGAGUUAGGAUUGCAACAUAGAAUGUUUAAAAACAAACAGCCAGAAAUAACUGUUGUCCCAACUGCUCUCUAACCUUGGCGAGAGAAGGAGAACAGUCUGUGUGUUGCUGUUUUCCCCUUCUUGGGUGAGCUGAAGUUGCCGGGCAGAGGGAGUCCUUGGCCAAGGUUGUGGCGGACGGACGGGUCAGCUGGUAGCUGGGCCCCGGCUAACGGGGUUAGUCCCAUUAUUGCACCAUGCUCCCAGAGGUGGGUCUGUUUCUGUCAUUAGGAGAGUUGUUGCAAUAUAGAAAAAUAUUAAUGCUCGCUGGAGCCCCAGAGAAUGGGAACAUUUCGGUGGUGGGUAGGCAGUAAAUCUGUCACAAUGUCAUGAGUAAUCAACCCAAGGGUCUCUCCUGAGCCAGCAUGUGGCAUGCUCUUGCACCACAGAGACUGGCUCUGUUCUGACUUCAGGCAACCCCUACUGAAGCCACAUCUCCAAAUGCGUAUGUGGUUUCUCUCUCAAAGAAAAGAAGAGAGAUCGAAAGUCUGGGUAAGACCACGCUGAUGAGGACUCAAUCCGGCUUGUUACCUGGACUUUCCCAGAGCAAGGCACACUCUCGGGCAUUGCACUAAGGACAUCUGGACACAGGGAACAUUGAAGAGAGACACUACAACAGCAGGGAGGGUGGGGCGCAGAGGCCCCAUAAUCUCAGCCUUUCCUGCUUCCUGACCUAGGUCUCUCUCCUGAGGAGGAGGUGGAAGUGGCCUGGCCAGGAAGUAGAGUUAAGUAAUAUCAUCAGGCACCUUCUGCCAGGAAGAGGGUUUAUAGCAACAAGUCACAAGGGCAGCCUUCUUUUGCUCCUGCCCUUACAAUCUUCACAGUGAAGGAAAUGGGGGUCAGAGAUGUUGAUGAUUGUGCUUCCCAGAGCGACCGCCUGCCCCUCUUCAGGUUGUUCAGUGUGCCACCCUCUGCUGGGGCCAUUAGACCUACACCCUCCCCCCUGCCUAGAAGACUGCUCUAGGGUCAGUAUAGGAAACACCUCUUCCAGGGCGCCUCCUUGCGUCUUGCAGCCUUGGCCUGGAUCUGGGCACUGUGGACUCAUAUACCAGGUUCCCAUCAUGCCACAGUCAUAACAUGUAGCGUAGGGGAGGGAAGGCAGACUCCCUAAGAGUAAAGAAUGCAGAUUGAAAAGUAGGGUUCAAAUCCCUCCCCAGCUCCUUCAGAGGGCCGGGUCUAAGGCCACUUGCUUGAGCCUUGCGAAGCUAUGUUUCUUCACUGCAAGCAGGAAAGAAGGUAGCCACUUCAUGUGCCUUCCUGUCACUAUUAAUUGGGACAGAGACUGUGAAGUGCCAAUCCGUGGCCAGGCUCAGAAGUUCUAUGCCAGCUGGGGCAACAUGACCUCAUCACCUCCUACUCUGGAAUCCCAAGGUCUACCAUGUCAAAGGGUAUGGUAUACCAACCUCUAUAUUUCAAAAACGGGCCCUCAAGCUCGUACUAAGUAGGUACUUGUUCAGAACUUCCUGGGCAUAGAGUGAAUGGCCUGGGUCAUUUUGUUGGUGACAGACACAAGUUAGAGCAGUUAGCAACAUUCAUAGCCUAGAUUUUAUGAUCUUUUUGUAAUCUCUGAUGGGAGAAUGGGAAAAACAGCCCUGCCUGCCUACCAACGCCGUUCAUACUACACUUACCUCUGCCCUGGUGCAAUCAAUGGUAAAAUAUCAAUAAAUCAAGCGUUGGCACACAACCACUCCGGUUCCUCCAGGGCUACGUGUUGCAGUUCAGAGAUGAAGUAGGAGGCCUGUGCCACUGGAGAGCUUGCCCACUCAGACCAAGAGCUAAGGUGGUUUGGAGUAGGGGCCAAUAAAAGACAAGAAGAUGGAGUGAGGAGCCCAGGGGAAGAGUGGGCAGGGAAGGAGGGACAAUACGUGCAGUCAGAGCUCAGGUGUCCCCACAGAGGGAAGGCUGUGUUCGGUUCCUGGAGGUGUUGGCUGUUUACUGGGCAUGGGAAACACUAAUUGUUCAGCGGGGAGGGACCAGACUAUUGAGAUCUGGUUUCUUUUCUCUGUUUAGCAUAUUGUUAAUUUAUUAGGCCAGGAAUCUGCUAUUUGUUUUAAAAUAUGGUCUCCUACAGACACAUCUUCUAAGACUUAGAGGGUCCCUCAGCAGGUAAGUAAACACAGGAGCACCUUGUUUAGCUAGGACACUUGGCCAGACGUCAAAUACCCACACCCAGAAUGUAGCACACUGGGGAGAGCAGAAGCCUCGAGAGCUAUGGGUGCUGUUUUGUGCUUGGUCAGGGUGGAGUCAACUUUACUCCAAUGUAACCUUGGCCGAAUGAAGCAAAUGAGAAAUGUUGAUCUUUUGAAUUUGCACUGGCUUGCAAGAUCUUGAAAUCUUGAACCCCAGGACCUAAUUUUUAACACAGACAGCAAAGAUUUUCUAUAGCAAAUUUGAUACAUAGGAAAAAAUAAAUAAAAGUCAGAAGAGGAAAGCUGCAGGAGAAAGGCUCCUCAUAAGAAGAAGUGAUGGCAAGUGUGCCAGGAGAAGGGCCGAGAGAUGGCUCAGCAGUUCAGAGCAGGCCGCUCUUCCAGACAUCCUGAGUUCAGUUCCCAGCAACCACAUGGUGGCUCACAACCAUCUAUAAGAGGAUCUGAUGCCCUCUCCUGGCCUGCGGGUACAUAUGUAGAGCUUCUCAUAAAUAAAAUAUAAACAAAUAAAAAAGUUCAAAAAGAAAAAUACUGGGAUAAAAUAGUCUCAAAUUUCCCAUGAUGCAGUGCAAAGGCAUUUAACAUGCCUGUUACCUUACUGUGAUGACAUCAACAAGAGACAAGAAAGCAGUUGUCAUGGUUUUGAGAAAGGGGUAAACUGAUGACUUAAAGUUUAAAAGCUCAACAAGAACCCCACUGUGGACUGAAGAGGUGGCUCAGGGUUCAAGGGCACACACUGCUCUUGAAGAGGCCAUGAGUUCUGCUCACAGCACCAACAUCAGGGAGUUCACGAUGGGGUCUUGUGCCCUCUCCUGGCCUCUGCCAGUACUGCACUCAAGUGCUCACAUCCCUAAGUGUGAGUCACAUCCAAAGAGGACAUUACUUGGACUCCAUUGCUUAGGAAGAAGCAAGCAAUCACUAUUUUGAAUUGUCAAGAAUGAAAAAUUACUCUUCUUAACUGUUGGCUUUAAGAAAACAGGGAAGUGUGGCAUGUAAUUUAAGACAUUCUGGGACUUUUCACCAAGGAACUCCACCCAGAAAACCACCGUUCCUCAACAGUGCUCAUUUUGAUAUGAAUGAGGUCAUUUUGUUCUGAGUCUAUGCAGACUUACAUGUGAGGCCACUGGCCUAAGAAAUGUACUUUCAUGGCUUCCUAGUGGCUUUAGAACUUCCUAAAAAUAUUUUCAAGAUACCUAUUUGGUAAGUACUUGUUCUUUCAAGGAACUAGCUCUUUAGUUAACUCUGGUUGAGCCUCUGCAAUGGUGUGUGUGUGUAUGUGUGUGUGUGUGUGUGUGCAUGCGUGUGCAUGCCUGCUUGAAGAUUGGUGCUUGUAGGAUGACAUGUUGGUAAGUGCUUUAAAAAAUACAUCCAGUUCAAACUUUAGAAAUGGAAAAAUACUCAGCCUUGUGUGUGUGUUUCUAAAACCAUAACAUUGAACCCUCUGGCUGAUGACUCAAGCAAUUGGCCUCUCUGUCUGCCGAGGCAGCAGCCUCCUGGUAUCUUCUGCUCCCAGGGGGGAUGGAUUGGAUUCUCUCUUGUUUGCCCAGACAGCCCUGAGUCCUGUCUUUCUGUCCCUUGACACAGGCAGCUGGCAAUGCCACAGCAGCCUUUGCUUCUGCCUGUGGCUGUUACCAGGUCCCCAGGACAGCAUGCUGGUGCUCCGGGUUUGGCUCUCUGUGGAUACCCCGAGGGAGGAGGCAGGCAAAGCUAACAGAGAGGGUGGCUUUGGAUUGCACCGGCACAGAACGGCUGACGCUUGUGAGCGAAAUUUUCCGAGCAGACAGCAAGCUUCGGUGGAACAAAGUGAACAACUAGUGGUCAGGAAAAGAUCUGUCUGGGGUUUGCUCAGUAACAGUCUUGACAUUUGGGGUAGAGACUCCAUACUACAGAAAGACAAAGGUUUAGGUACCACACACCAGAAUAAUCCUUCCUGUCAGGGCCCUGGUCUUUGGUCAAAGGGCAAUUUCUAUAGUUAACUGCGUGAACGGAAGGCAGAAGAAAAAACAUGGGCAGUCAUGAAGGCCUUCAUUUCCCCUUUCUGCAAAGAGCUAUUGCCCAGCUGCAGAAGGGCAAUGGAGGCAGAUUUCUGUUUGGUGAGGGAGCUACUGCUUCAAUAUUGAGGUAGACAAUUGAACAUGUCCUCAAGAUGCAAAGAAUGGUAGGUUGAUAUCUUCUGAUAGCGAAUGCUAUCAGGAACUCUUCGGAGGAAAAAAAAUGCAGUGUCCAGUGUCGGGGGAGGAGUCAAGGAGUGUGACGUGAAGUGCUCUUCCCCAGGAGAGCAGAGGAAGGCGCUGGGAGGGGAAAGCCCCUUAUUCUGCGUGCAAAUGAUCACGAGUGAAAGACUGAGACCAGAUAUGGCCUUCUGACUAAGAGAACUAACGAGAGAGACAGACUUUGGGAAGUGGAGAAGUGAGGGGGGGGGACUGAGAGCAAGACUAAGUGGAAGAAGCUUAACCCUAGAGGAGCCUUGCAGACAAUUUGGCACUGGGGGAAGAGAUUCCAGAAAGAGCUUUUUCUGACCUCUUCGACCUUUUAGGUUGAAGCCAGCAGCACGGAUGGGGAGAGCAGAGGAAAACAGGAAGCUGCCUAGGAAGGCAGAGAAGCUGGGAGAUAGCCUGUAACUAGCCUGUUUCCUCUCUUCAGGCUCCGGCAAGGGUGAGGUUUGUGUCCCUUCUGCUGACCAAGGCUCCACACCAGGCUCUCCCCACCCUGGGGGAUGGUCCUGGGGCUGGAGUGUGCUUCCUUAGUCUUUCAGUCUUUCCAAUGUAUUUCGAGCUUUGUUCCUUGAUAUCUGGGCCCCAACCGUCUUAAAAAACCGGCCCUUUCCCUCUGUCAUCGUGAAUAUCCAUAAAAUAGUCUCUUAGCAAUUUCCCCCAGAGAUUCUGCUGGUGUCAGCAGGACCGAACUUGGCUCUCCAUCCAGAGAGAUGCUUAGUCAAAUUUCUCAGCGCUCCUUCUCAGGCACCCUGUACCCUAUGAUUCAGCUGGUGCCAGCCUUCUGUAGCCUAGCCAAAGGUUCCCAGAACCAAAAUACCUUUUCCAGAAACUGUACUAACCCCAAGUCUUUGUAAAGUCCACUGUUAGGGAAGUGGGAGCCCAGGGACGCUGAGUCAAUGUGUCCGGCGUGUCUGUGUAACACAGACACAGGGGAAUUUACAUGCUGUGUCACCCAGGCAGCCAGCCUGGCCCUGGAAUUAGAAACCCCAUCCCAUCCUGUGACUCUUGAUCACAUGCAGCCUCCAUCCGGGAAACUUUUGGUUUUCAACAGGGACUACCUCCUGUGAGAAGGAAACCAUUCUGUAGGUGCAAAGUGGUCCUGGGAGGGUAAUAAGGACAACAGUUCACCAGGCCUAGAGUUUAGAGCUAGUUACAGACAGGCCUAGUUUCCUAAGGAGGAAGUGCUGGCCUGGACCGAAGCCUGUUCUGCAAUGGAGGCCAGGAGUGUCGCCUGCUCUCUUAUACCUUGCUCUCUUAUACCCCACAAGUUGUCCCUUUAUUAAUCAUUCAGGACUCACAAGUUCUUGGUCACAGUAAAGAAUGCUUAUCCAAAAAGUAAACACAGAACACUUACUGGGGCUUAUGGUACAAAGACCAAAACUGUCACUGGUACCUUCUCUCACCUUUGAUGACGACUCUGUCAUCUCUGUUCUCCGCAUGACUACCCUGCUUGCUCCCCGCCCACGCCCCACAGCACAGCGUCUCCAAAGAUGAUAUCCUUUGCUAAGAUCAUCUGAGUCUCCUUGAGUGGCUGACCACUCUUGUGUUUUUGUGCGUUGGUGUUAAAACAGAGAUCAUGAUGACACUGACUUCCCAGGGCCACAGUGAGGACCGAGCGGCUUAGUUAUUUGUAAAGCAAUUGGAACUAUGUUUGUAGAACAAAUCCAUACCCACAUCUCUGAUAGUAACCUGGGCAGUGUAGACAUCAAGAAUCAAUUGGAGUCUCAAACCUGCCUCCAUCAAGUCAGUAUUUCUUACUCUUUUUAAGUAACGGGGAGCCCCUUCAGAAGCCAAUCCCCAAUGCUGGAUAUAUUGAGGACCAGCUACUAUUUUAUCUGGGAAGCUGGCAGGGCUCCCUAAUAAGGCAACGUUUGAAAUGCAGGAGCUCUCCAAGGAAACGUAAAUCAUAGAGCCAGUAAGUAGGAUUUUGUAGCCCACUUCCCGCCCCCAUGGAAACUCUCUCCACUGCCAACUUCUCCUUACAGGGCACCACUGUUUUCUGUACCUUAUUCCACAAAGUUUUCACAAUACCAUAGAAUCAGCUCCACCCUAUUUCUCCUAAAAGGGAAUGUCAUCUUUA